CUUGCUUCUUCGAUCGAGUGGCGGACGGGUGAGUAACGCGUGAGGAACCUGCCUUGAAGAGGGGGACAACAGUUGGAAACGACUGCUAAUACCGCAUGAUGCAUAGGGAUCGCAUGAUUCUUAUGCCAAAGAUUUAUCGCUUCAAGAUGGCCUCGCGUCUGAUUAGCUAGUUGGUGAGGUAACGGCCCACCAAGGCGACGAUUGGUAGCCGGACUGAGAGGCUGAACGGCCACAUUGGGACUGAGACACGGCCCAGACUCC
RNAcentral lists this ribosomal RNA (261 nucleotides) under uncultured Oscillibacter sp. Its description in RNAcentral is "partial 16S ribosomal RNA". It matches the Rfam family "Bacterial small subunit ribosomal RNA", at positions 79 to 339 of the family's 1533-position model. The record is from RNAcentral. Lineage: Bacteria; Bacillati; Bacillota; Clostridia; Eubacteriales; Oscillospiraceae.